Panthera uncia (snow leopard) is the source of this 2357-nucleotide RNA transcript. It is a transcript of the gene named transmembrane protein 42, with no coding region annotated. The transcript is spliced from 4 exons. Lineage: Eukaryota; Metazoa; Chordata; Mammalia; Carnivora; Felidae. The record is from RefSeq and is a predicted model, not a curated record.
AGGCCACCGCCCAAUGGCGGCGCGCGCUCGGUCCUGCCGGUGGCUGGUGCCUCAGGAGCCGGGAGAGGUGGCAGCGGGCACCAUGGCCGAGAGGCCACAGUCCCCAGGCGGCGCCGUGUGCCCAGCCUCCUACCCCGACGCCCCCGCGGAGUUCCCCCCGCACCUCCAGGCCGGCGCGAUGCGGCGCCGCUUCUGGGGCGUGUUCAACUGCCUGUGCGCCGGCGCGUUCGGGGCGCUGGCCGCCGCCUCCGCCAAGCUGGCCUUCGGCAGCGAGGUGAACAUGGUCUUCUGCAUCUUAGGCAUUAUCGUGAUGGCCACCACCAAUUCUCUCAUGUGGACGUUCUUUAGCCGGGGCCUCAGUUUCUCCAUGUCUUCGGCCAUUGCAUCUGUCACGGUGACUUUUUCAAACAUCCUCAGCUCGGUGCAUGUAUCCUGUGACCCAGCAGUUGACUUUGGAAGAUUUAUGUCACAGAUGUUGUCACCCGCAAGUGCAAAGACGUGUGCGAGGAAGUGACGUAUGAGGUCUGGAACAACUUCAAGGCCCACCCAGAGGCAGUAGUGGCCGCUGAAGAGAAUGACAUCUACUUGGAUGGUUAAGAAAUCAACUCCAAGAAGCGAGGCACCGGGGCAUUCCACAGGCAGGAGGCUGCCCAGCACACCUGGAAGAGGGAUUUGCUUUGUUUUGCAGGAACUAGAAUCGUCCAUUGGGAUUUCUGAAAGUGUGAGUAUCACUGGGGCUCAGCCUCACCUUCCACCUCCCUUUCCCUGAAUUGCUCUGUCAUCAGCAUGGGGCCUGGAGGCACAGGGCAGGGACAGGUGGGGUGGGCCACUAGGCGGGACAGGAGGGCACCUGCAGCCAGAGAAGAGAGGUGCCUGGGUCCUCAGUUAAGAUGGUGUGUGUGUCCCUCUUCAGCCGGACCCUCUGUCCGUCUCUCUCCCGUGUAUUUGUGUCCCUUCUGACCACUCCCAGGCGUGGGGUGGCGCUCGUUCCCUCUGAAUCAGGAGAGGUGGACCGUGUCGUCCAGCCUCGCUGCCUGACAGGACCCUGGAGGCCCAGGCCGCACUGUCUUUUGAGGCUCCUUAUAAAUUAAAACCAAACGACCUCCAAAACAGGCUUCAGGAACUGUGGCACAUUGUAAAAGCCCGAAUUUAACAAACUGGUAUCUUUAUAUAUAUACAUAAUUUUGUUUUAAGUUUAUUUCUUUAUUUUGAGAGACAGACGCAGCGUGAGGGAGGGGCAGAGAGAGAGAAUCCCAAGCAGGCUCCGAGCUGGCAGUGCACAGCCCGACUCAGGGCUCGAGCCCACGAAGCUGUGAGAUCAUGACCUGAGCUGAAACCAAGAGUCGGACACUAAACUGACUGAGCCACCCAGAUGCCCCAUAAACUGGUGUCUUUAAUAUUCAGGAGACAGAGGGAAGCGUGACUGUGGUUUUCACCAGGCCUGAUGGAGUUUGCAAAGAACUUUCAUGCUCUGGAUAGAAGGGGGAGGAGUGUGGUCGAACCCAGGCCACAGGUUCAGAGAUUUGUGACAAGUGUCAUUUUAGUCCUGUACUUGCCUGUACAGCCUUUUUUAGAGAUUACGUCAAAAGUCUACAUUAGGGCCCUCUGCUCAUUUAUUUUUGCAUUUAUAUAGCACUUACUAUGUGUCGCGUACUGUUGUAAGUGCUUUUCAAAGAGGAACUCAGGGCACCUGGGUGGCUUUCUCGGUUGAGCAUCCGACUUCGGCUCAGGUCAUGAUCUCACACUUCGUGGGUUUGAGCCCCACAUUGGGCUCUGUGCUGACAUCUCAGAGCCUGGAGCCUGCUUCCGAUUCUGCGUUUCCCUCUCUCUCUCUCUCUCUCUCUCUCUCUCUCUCUGCCCCUCCCCCACUCAUGCUCUGCCUCUCUCACUCUCAAAAAUAAACAUAAAAGAAUAAUAAUAAAAGAGGGACUCAAGUGGCUUUGCCCUUUCUCUGGUUUCCAUAAAGUGGAAGAAUGUCCAGCCGGGACGCAAUCAGGGUUUGGGAGAGAUGCGGGCCACUCCCAGUUAAUUUCCAAAAUAGAAGAUGCCCAAAUAGGUAUAAACAUUUUAACGAUCACCAUUUCGCGGAGGAGGAAACUGAGGCACAGAACGUGAGCAUCUGUCCCAGGUCACACGGUGAGUGUGUGCACAGGCCCUCCUGGGCGCCCUGCCCGUCCGGACAAGCCACGCCCUCCAUGUGUUCUGCGAUGCUCUGGGGAGCCACACUGGGCGGGGGUGCCAGGCUGGGCUGGCAACCCCUUGUGCCACUGGGGUGGACGCUGAUGCCCACCCCUCACGCGUGCGUCAGAUGGACGUGCUCGCCAGGAAUUGGUCCGGGAGCUACCAGAGGCGCCUGG